RNAcentral lists this ribosomal RNA (418 nucleotides) under uncultured bacterium. RNAcentral's name for it is "bacterial SSU rRNA". It matches the Rfam family "Bacterial small subunit ribosomal RNA", at positions 359 to 775 of the family's 1533-position model. The record is from RNAcentral.
GAAUAUUGGGCAAUGGACGCAAGUCUGACCCAGCCAUGCCGCGUGCAGGAAGAAGGCCUUCUGGGUUGUAAACUGCUUUUGAUCGGGAACAAAGAGCCCUUGCGAGGGAAGUUGAGUGUACCGAUAGAAUAAGCACCGGCUAACUCCGUGCCAGCAGCCGCGGUAAUACGGAGGGUGCAAGCGUUGUCCGGAUUUAUUGGGUUUAAAGGGUGCGUAGGCGGCUAUUUAAGUCAGUGGUGAAAUCCUGCAGCUUAACUGUAGAAUUGCCAUUGAUACUGGAUAGCUUGAGUACAGACGAGGUAGGCGGAAUUUAUGGUGUAGCGGUGAAAUGCAUAGAUACCAUAAAGAACCCCUAUUGCGAAGGCAGCUUACUAGGCUGUAACUGACGCUGAGGCACGAAAGCGUGGGGAUCAAACAG